AGAGCGAACGCUGGCGGCAGGCCUAACACAUGCAAGUCGAGCGCCCGUAGCAAUACGGGAGCGGCAGACGGGAUAGUAACACGUGGGAACGCGCCCUUCGGUUCGGAAUAACUCAGGGAAACUUGAGCUAAUACCGGAUACGCCCUUACGGGGAAAGAUUUAUUGCCGAAGGAACGGCCCGCGUCCGAUUAGCUAGUUGGUGAGGUAAUGGCUCACCAAGGCGACGAUCGGUAGCUGGUCUGAGAGGAUGACCAGCAUCACUGGGACUGAGACACGGCCCAGACUCCUACGGGAGGCAGCAGUGGGGAAUAUUGCACAAUGGGCGGAAGCCUGAUGCAGCGACGCCGCGUGAGGGAUGACGGCCUUCGGGUUGUAAACCUCUUUCAGCAGGGACGAAGCGAAAGUGACGGUACCUGCAGAAGAGCGCCGGCCAACUACGUGCCAGCACGCCGC
Molecule: ribosomal RNA, 453 nt
Filed under: uncultured bacterium
Lineage: Bacteria
Description: SSU rRNA
Rfam family: Bacterial small subunit ribosomal RNA
Source: RNAcentral